AUCGCUGCUCAGCCUUUUGGCUAAGAUCAAGUGUAGUAUCUGUUCUUAUCAGUUUAAUAUCUGAUACGUCCUCUAUCAGAGGACAAUAUAUUAAAUGGAUUUUUAGAGCUAGGAGUUGGAAUAGGAGCUUGCUCCGUCUACUGCACGCAUCGACCUGGUAUUGCAGUACUCCCAGGAACGGUGCACCAGAA
RNAcentral lists this small nuclear RNA (191 nucleotides) under Catagonus wagneri (Chacoan peccary). RNAcentral's name for it is "U2 spliceosomal RNA (ENSCWAG00000000016.1)". It matches the Rfam family "U2 spliceosomal RNA". Rfam says of the family: U2 is a small nuclear RNA (snRNA) component of the spliceosome (involved in pre-mRNA splicing). Lineage: Eukaryota; Metazoa; Chordata; Mammalia; Artiodactyla; Tayassuidae. The record is from Rfam by way of RNAcentral.